This is a long non-coding RNA of Zophobas morio, 500 nucleotides long. RefSeq lists it as uncharacterized. NCBI's taxonomy places the organism in Eukaryota, Metazoa, Arthropoda, Insecta, Coleoptera, Tenebrionidae. The transcript is spliced from 4 exons. The record is from RefSeq and is a predicted model, not a curated record.
UAUGGUCUAUUAUCUAUUUGUUAAUAGACUUUAUUAUAUGCAAUAUUCUGGUGCUGAUGUUUCUUAUGUACUUUAAGGCAUUGGUUGGGCGCUUCCGUCCGGACUUCAUAAACCGCUGCGGGCCUAAAGAUCCGAAAAAGUUAGGUAUCUAUGACCCUGCCGACUGCAAUAAUAGUGACCAGAGCGUGCUUAAGGAAGGACAAUAUUCUUAUCCUUCUGCCCAUUCGACGCUCGCGUUUGCUCACGGGAUCUACACAACUUUAUAUUUAUUCUGGAAUUAUUACGUGCGCCAAUCCCCUUCAAACAGAACGUUGAUCGGUGCUUACAGUUCACAGGUCGAAUCGGUCGCAGACGUUGAGCAAAAUGCGCCAGAAAGGACCUACCACUGCGUUUCCGAUGUUUUGCGCCUGCUUCAGUUUUCUUCUUUGCUACUCGGCCCCGCAGCUGCUUUUUUUAUUGCGAUUACAAGAGUUCUUCAGUACAAGCAUACCUUUAGUGAU